This 71-nucleotide transfer RNA is filed under the name Marmota monax (woodchuck). Its description in RNAcentral is "tRNA.Ala". It matches the Rfam family "tRNA". From Rfam's summary of the family: Transfer RNA (tRNA) molecules are approximately 80 nucleotides in length. Their secondary structure includes four short double-helical elements and three loops (D, anti-codon, and T loops). The record is from RNAcentral. Lineage: Eukaryota; Metazoa; Chordata; Mammalia; Rodentia; Sciuridae.
GAGGUUGUGGCUCGGUGGUAGAGUGCUCGCCUAGCAUGUGUGAGGCUCUGGGUUCGAUCCUCAGCACCACA